CUCUGGCGCUGCUCCCCAGGCAUAUAUAUGCAGGGGUCAGCCAGCAGGCUGACUUCCUGUGUGAUGAUGGCAGCAGGCGGACCUGGUGGCUCUGGCCAGGGCUGUUUGUGGCAGUGUGGUCCGAGCAUCUGCUAUGUUGGUUCAUGGUGAUGCCAGCAGUGUUACAGAGACACGGAUCUCGUCCAUGCACUUUAAGAUAAGUGCUCAAAGGCCACGGUUGACCAAGAGUAACUAGAACCAAGAAGAAUAAAACCAUGGAUGAGGGGGUUCUGUACUGGCGAGUGCAUCUUUGGAGCUGUCAGCAAGGCAAGAGGGUUCCCCCCCACACACCCCAUCUCAGCUCAGAAGAGGCUGAGAUCUUUCUGGAAGCACUGCACAGGAUGACCUGGAGUGAAUACAGUGAGACAGACUCCAGAGGCUACUCCAAGUGUCAGAUUGGAGAUGGAGUCCCUGAAGGACGCUGUAGGGCUGGAGAUGAAAUUGAUUCCGUCCGUGCAGGGUGAGGGGAGGGAGGAGAAAAGGUGUCCAUUUUCUAAACAUUUUCCUCUUGAAAUUAAAGUUAAAAAAUUUUUUUCUGUGUGUUUUUUAGGGCAGCACCCACGGCAUAUGGAGGUUCCCAGGCUAGGGGUCAUAAAUGUUUAUUUUUGUCGAGGAAUACCUAAAUGUAAAGACAAGGGAAUUCUGUAAGUCUCGUUAUCAAUAAGAUCAAUCCCUGCCCACGCACCUCGCUUUUAGCUGAUGGCCCCCCACCGUUCACCUCCAUCUCUCAACUGCACGCUUGUGCUCCUGCUCUUUGCUUUUCGAGAUGUUUCCUCUUGUGAAAGACAAGCAUUUCAGUAACCACCUUCUCCAACACCAACGCUCACUCACGCAUCUCUUCUCUGCCUUUAUCCUCCCAAAGGAGAUUUAUGGGGUUUUGCUUCCUCCUUCCCUCCCGUCCUGCCUUCGUUCUUUCUGUUUGGGUUUUAUGUUGUCAUGACUUUGCAGCACGCUGUCCGAACCUCUGAACUACAUAGAUGCUGUGAUUACUUUUUUUUCCCCCGAGUCAACAUUUUGUUUGCCAGGAAAUUAUUCAUUGUCUAGUUGUUUAUGGUUUGGUUUGGUUUGGGCUUUGUUUUCUUUGGUCUUAUCAAUCAGGCAACCGUAAACUCUCGCCCAAGAUGUUCAAACAGAAUUUUAAGCCACUUUCAUCUUCAAGAGGUCUCCCCUAGGGGCCUCUGUCUUCUCCAGCCAGACUGGGUGCCUGCGAAUCUGUUUUGCUUUUCCCGUGUUUAUGGAGCUGCCAAGAUGCAGCUUUUUGUGGGAGGUGAGGAUGGAAAUUGGCCUGCCCAUGGGCAUGCACGUGAGGCCCCUCGUGAUGUGGGAUGGAUCCAGGAGCUGGGAGAAGAAGAGAAAGGAUGUCACCAGGGCCAGAACUCCCCAUGCCUCCGCAUUCUGAAGCAGAGCAUCAGAGAGCCCGAGGAUUCUCUAUCAGAACCUGGCCUUCCAGGUAGUUCUGCAGGUGUAUCUGUCAAGGUAGGAGAGAGCAUAUUUCACUUAUUACUUUGUUUGUUAGCUUCAUUUAGAACUUUAAAAAAUUUAGAUAUAUGACAUAUGUCCAUUUAUCCUCCUGUCCAGACCCUUCAAGUGUUGGGAGUGGGCUUGGCACUGGUGGGGCACCUCUCAUCUGGAAAUUCAUCUGUCUAGUCUGGGAAAGUUUCUUGAAUUAUUUCUUAGAUGAUCUCCCCUCUGCCACUUUCUCUCUUCUGGGGCUCUGAUUAGUUGUGUGUUGGACCUUCUAUGCAAGUCCUCUCAUUUUCCUGAAUUUUCUCUUUUCUUUCCUACCUUCCUUCCUCCCUCUCUCUCUCCCCCUCCCUUCCUUAUUUCUUCUCUUCUCUCCUUCCUUCCCUUUCUUUUUUCACUCUUUUUUCCUCCCCCACACUUUCCAUUUAAAAUUAUUCUUUUAUGAUAUCACAUUUUUAGUUUCCCAGGGUGCUUUUUGUGUGCCUCGAAUGUAUCUUUUUAAAAUGCAGUCCAUUCUUUUUAUUCAGUCUAUGUUACCUUCUCCUGGUGUGGUCCAUUUUCCCUCCAGUUUACUCCUUUUCAUUGGUUUAUUUGCUUGAUUUUCCUUUGGGGGUGAUACACUUCUAAGAUGCUUGUUCCGGAAGGUCUGAUUGUCCUUGGCGAACCACUCUCAGGUGGCAGCAGCGCUGUGGUGAGGGCUAAGCCUUGCCGCAUUCGCUGUUGUCGAUCUGGCUGGAAAUAUUGCAAGCAGGAUCCCAGCUGUGAACAUCUUUUGGUCUGUACCUUGGGCUGGUUGGAUUCCCGGAGAAGACUUUCCCACGUUCCUGCCUGGAGUGGCUAAUCCUCACUGCCACGGUCAUGGGGUCCAAGGAGGGGAAAGGCUGCAAGGCACCUCUGCAUUCAUGUUAUGACCUUUUAUUUAAUCCUUCUUUUUUCAGUGUGAGAGCUUGGCCCUACUGUUUGGUGUUUCCCAGUCCAGAGACCCUCCCUUGGACCCUACAUCGCAUCUGUCUUCUUUAACUUAGCACAGUGUUUUUGUUUCAGUGGUGUCAUAGCAUGUAUCUGUAGCUCAUCCACUUUUUGUUUCAUUUUUUUUCUUUUUAAGGCCACACUUGCAAGAUAGGGAAGUUCCCAGGCUAGAGGUCGAAUUAGAGCUGC
This is a long non-coding RNA of Sus scrofa (pig), 2661 nucleotides long. RefSeq lists it as uncharacterized. NCBI's taxonomy places the organism in Eukaryota, Metazoa, Chordata, Mammalia, Artiodactyla, Suidae. The record is from RefSeq and is a predicted model, not a curated record.